Molecule: ribosomal RNA, 454 nt
Filed under: uncultured bacterium
Lineage: Bacteria
Description: bacterial SSU rRNA
Rfam family: Bacterial small subunit ribosomal RNA
Source: RNAcentral
AGCGAACGCUGGCGGAAUGCUUAACACAUGCAAGUCGCACGGGGACUUCGGCCUUAGUGGCGGACGGGUGAGUAACGCGUAGGAAUGUGUCCGAGGAUGGGGGAUAACGUUGGGAAACUGACGCUAAUACCGCAUAUCUCCUGAGGGGGAAAGCCGCGGGGCGUCCACGGAGCAGCCUGCGUACGAUUAGCUAGUUGGUUAGGUAAAGGCUGACCAAGGCGACGAUCGUUAGCUGGUCUGAGAGGGUGAUCAGCCACACUGGAACUGAGACACGGUCCAGACUCCUACGGGAGGCAGCAGUGGGGAAUAUUGGACAAUGGGCGCAAGCCUGAUCCAGCAAUUCCGCGUGGGUGAAGAAGGUCUUCGGAUUGUAAAGCCCUUUCGUUGGGGACGAUGAUGACGGUACCCAAAGAAGAAGCCCCGGCUAACUUCGUGCCAGCAGCCGCGGUAAGAC